RNAcentral lists this long non-coding RNA (280 nucleotides) under Capsella rubella. Its description in RNAcentral is "long non-coding RNA (CRUB_LNC005208)". The record is from RNAcentral. Lineage: Eukaryota; Viridiplantae; Streptophyta; Magnoliopsida; Brassicales; Brassicaceae.
UUUUUUUGUAAACAUAUUUUAAAUUCAAAAUAAAAUAAGUAAAGGAAUCAUUUUAUUAUGGAAUAAAAAAUUAACAUGAAUGAAGGAAAAUAGUGUUAAUAAAUCCAAAUCUGAUGUCAAAAAAAAUAAAAAAAUCCAAAUCUAAAUUGCUAACUGAAUUAAUUUGUUUUUUUCCGUGUGUGAGGUUAACAUAUAUUAAAAUUAAAAUGCUAUGUACAACUACAUUUGAUAAUUAUAAGAUUAUAUAUUCUAUUUAAAAACAAAACAAAAAAGAGAAAAA